GAUGAACGCUGGCGGCGUGCCUAAUACAUGCAAGUCGAGCGAACAGACGAGGAGCUUGCUCCUCUGACGUUAGCGGCGGACGGGUGAGUAACACGUGGAUAACCUACCUAUAAGACUGGGAUAACUUCGGGAAACCGGAGCUAAUACCGGAUAAUAUAUUGAACCGCAUGGUUCAAUAGUGAAAGACGGUUUUGCUGUCACUUAUAGAUGGAUCCGCGCCGCAUUAGCUAGUUGGUAAGUUAACGGCUUACCAAGGCAACGAUGCGUAGCCGACCUGAGAGGGUGAUAGGCCACACUGGAACUGAGACACGGUCCAGACUCCUACGGGAGGCAGCAGUAGGGAAUCUUCCGCAAAGGGCGAAAGCCUGACGGAGCAACGCCGCGUGAGUGAUGAAGGUCUUCGGAUCGUAAAACUCUGUUAUUAGGGAAGAACAAAUGUGUAAGUAACUAUGCACGUCUUGACGGUACCUAAUCAGAAAGCCACGGCUAACUACGUG
RNAcentral lists this ribosomal RNA (497 nucleotides) under uncultured bacterium. RNAcentral's name for it is "partial 16S ribosomal RNA". It matches the Rfam family "Bacterial small subunit ribosomal RNA", at positions 28 to 507 of the family's 1533-position model. The record is from RNAcentral.